RNAcentral lists this long non-coding RNA (351 nucleotides) under Vitis vinifera (wine grape). RNAcentral's name for it is "long non-coding RNA (VVIN_LNC002365)". Lineage: Eukaryota; Viridiplantae; Streptophyta; Magnoliopsida; Vitales; Vitaceae. The record is from RNAcentral.
AAUGUUUUAAAAACCGGACCGGACCGGCCGGUCGGACCGGUCCAACCGUCGGCCGGUCACCAUUCCGGUCCGAUCCGGUCAUUUAGACCGGAUUGAGAUCGAACCGAGGUUAAACCGUUCGAACCGGCGGUUCAACCGGUGAACCGGACGAACCAGCCGGUUCCAAAAAAACCGACCAAUUCAAAAGAUUUUAAUUUUUCUUUAAAAAAAAUUAGAAAAUGAAAAUAUUACCAUGGAACUUAAAAUGGAUUUUACUAAAGGAUGUUGGGCCUGUCUUAUGACACAACCCACAGCCCACAACCCACAUACCCAUUCCACUUUAUGUGGGCUGAGUUUUGAGCCCAAGUUUUG